This 434-nucleotide ribosomal RNA is filed under the name uncultured bacterium. Its description in RNAcentral is "bacterial SSU rRNA". It matches the Rfam family "Bacterial small subunit ribosomal RNA", at positions 30 to 460 of the family's 1533-position model. The record is from RNAcentral.
AUUGAACGCUGGCGGCAUGCCUUACACAUGCAAGUCGAACGGCAGCGCGGGGGCAACCCUGGCGGCGAGUGGCGAACGGGUGAGUAAUAUAUCGGAACGUACCCAAGAGUGGGGGAUAACGUAGCGAAAGUUACGCUAAUACCGCAUACGAUCUAAGGAUGAAAGCAGGGGACCGCAAGGCCUUGUGCUCCUGGAGCGGCCGAUAUCUGAUUAGCUAGUUGGUGGGGUAAAGGCCUACCAAGGCAUCGAUCAGUAGCUGGUCUGAGAGGACGACCAGCCACACUGGGACUGAGACACGGCCCAGACUCCUACGGGAGGCAGCAGUGGGGAAUUUUGGACAAUGGGGGGCAACCCUGAUCCAGCAAUGCCGCGUGAGUGAAGAAGGCCUUCGGGUUGGUAAAGACUCUUUUGUUCAGGGAAGAAACGGUUAGGGG